UGUGCCCUUUGGCACGUCGUACCCGAGGAUUUUGCAGGACUUCAUGGCCUCCCGUGGAAUAAGCAGCGGGGCCGGUGGAUGCAACCUUAGUGUCUCCUUGAUGACGAGUCUGAGGUAUUUUAGGUCCGCCAAGUCAUCCUCGGUCAUUGUGUGCUUUUCUCUAAGGCAAUCGCGUACUUCGGCCUGUGAUUUCUACAUCAUGUUUGGGUACCUCAUGAGCUCCGGCAUGGCCCAUUGAAGUGCCGUUGCUGACGUCUCACUCCCGGUACUAAAGAGGUCCUACAAUAAUAAUACCAAUGUGUGCAAUUUAUAGAACAGGUAAAUUACCAAUUGAAGAGUCGAUGAUUUUCACCCGAUGUCUUAUUGACAUGUGGACCCUAGAACUAGAACCACAUGCUAGCAAGAGAUUGAGUCGCCAUCCUAAGUUUUCAACGAAGGAAUCAUGGAAGGUAAAUAUUGAGUUCAAAGUCACGCGGAAAUGAAAAGAUAGGCUAUGAUUGCUGCUUCUCGCAAGUUAACCCUAUAGUAGGAACUGAAAGUGGCUGGGGAGCUGUUGCCCUCACCAGGAUACUUGCUUUGAUGAUUCCCAUGGUGAGAGGCACCUCGAGGCCACCUUCCUUCUGUAUCCUCAAGAGCACGUCCACCAGGUCCUCUCCAUCCCCCACGGCCCUCUUUUCCUCGUGUUGUUUGAUGGCAUACUCCAUGAGCUCGAAGCUCUUCCGGUGGACCUCCUCGGCCAUCCGCACCGUGCCGCUUAUGAAGUUGGCAAGCCACGACGAAGGGAACAGGUCGUUGAGGAUGGACCCGGUGACGAGCUUGACCCCCUCCUGGAGGACCUGCAAGAACUCCUCCCUCCUCUGAAACAUGUCCCCGAUCAUGGUGCGCACGGCGGAGUCGGUGAUGAGCACGGAGAUCCGCUCGUUGAUGUUCACGAGCUGGCGAAUUGGUGGAUCGGCCAGGGGGGAGGGAAGGUCCGUUGCGGUGAGCCAGAUCCACCGCGUCGCGGCUUGGCGGUGAAGGAGAAAGGCAAGGCAGGGGGAGGGAGACCCACGGCCGCCACGGUCAGCCGGAUCUGACGCGAGGGAGGUCAAGUCACUGGCCAGAUCCGUUGGAGGUGCACCAUGCUGGAUCCGUGAGGCCACGGGGUGGUGGCGCUAGGUGGUGGCCGGGCGGGCUGCGGGGGCGAGNNNNNNNNNNNNNNNNNNNNNNNNNNNNNNNNNNNNNNNNNNNNNNNNNNNNNNNNNNNNNNNNNNNNNNNNNNNNNNNNNNNNNNNNNNNNNNNNNNNNNNNNNNNNNNNNNNNNNNNNNNNNNNNNNNNNNNNNNNNNNNNNNNNNNNNNNNNNNNNNNNNNNNNNNNNNNNNNNNNNNNNNNNNNNNNNNNNNNNNNNNNNNNNNNNNNNNNNNNNNNNNNNNNNNNNNNNNNNNNNNNNNNNNNNNNNNNNNNNNNNNNNNNNNNNNNNNNNNNNNNNNNNNNNNNNNNNNNNNNNNNNNNNNNNNNNNNNNNNNNNNNNNNNNNNNNNNNNNNNNNNNNNNNNNNNNNNNNNNNNNNNNNNNNNNNNNNNNNNNNNNNNNNNNNNNNNNNNNNNNNNNNGGUGCAGGGGAGGGAGGUGGGGUGGCGGCACGGUGGAGGGAGGUGGGGCGGCGGCACGAUGGAGGGAGGUGGUUUUGCGGCACGAUGGAGGGGAGGUGGGGCGGGGUGGGGUGGGCGCGGCCCCGGUUGAAGGGAGGAGGUGGAGGGAGUGGGGGAGGGGAGAGGUCGUGGGUACAGGCAGUGUUCUCGGGUUGCUAUGCGGUCCGGGCAAAGGGAUCGAGUAGUACAAAAGUGUUAGCAGAAUAAGCCUAGUGUUAGCAGAAUAAGACUCUUAGGGGGUGUUAUUAGAGUAGACCUACCCUACAUAUAUAAAAAUAAUUUGAUAGUAAACUUGCAAUGGUAUUUCUGAUGAUGUAAUUAACAUUACAUCAUAAGUCUUGACAUUCGACAAUGUUAGAGAUAAAGGACCGGUAUAUGAGAAUUUGUGACCACAAACUAUUAAAGUGCAAAUCAAACUGGCGACACAUGGACGAUGGAGUGCAGGUACAAGUCGUUCUUCCUCUGGACGGUGAUGCCCAUGUCCUCCACCAUGUUGACCUCACCUGGCUUCAACCCUGCCGGGAGCUCCCAGUCGAAGUGGUAGAGAAGUGCAGCGAGAACGAUCUCCAUGCUGGCCUAUUCAAACAUCAUACCAGGACACAUCCUUCUCCCCGCCCCAAACGGUAUGUACUCAAAGUCCGUGCCUUUGAAGUCGACGAUGCUAGACUCGAACCUCUCUGGCUUAAAUUCCUCAGGGUUAUCCCAGUGCUUAGGGUCCCUACCGAUCGCCCAUGCAUUCACAAGCACGUUUGUGCCCUUUGGCACAUCGUACCCGAGGAUUUUGCAGGACUUCAUGGCCUCCCGUGGAAUAAGCAGCGGGGCCUGUGGAUGCAACCUUAGUGUCUCCUUGAUGACGAGUCUGAGGUAUUUUAGGUCCGCCAAGUCAUCCUCAGUCACUGUGUGCUUUUCUCUAAGGCAAUCGCGUACUUCGGCCUGUGCUUUUUGCAUCAUGUUUGGGUACCUCAUGAGCUCCGACAUGGCCCAUUGAAGUGUCGUUGCUGACGUCUCACUCCCGGCACUAAAGAGGUCCUACAAUAAUAAUACCAAUGUGUGCAAUUUAUAGAACAGGUAAAUUACCAAUUGAAAAGUCGAUGAUUUUCACCCGAUGUCUUAUUGACAUGUGGACCCUAGAACUAGAACCACAUGCUAGCAAGAGAUCAAGUCGCCAUCCUAAGUUUUCAACGAAGGAAUCAUGGAAGGUAAAUCUUGAGUUCAAAGUCACGCGGAAAUGAAAAGAUAGGCUAUGAUUGCUGCUUCUCGCAAGUUGACCCUAUAGUAGGAACUGAAAGUGGCUGGGGAGCUGUUGCCCUCACCAGGAUACUUGCUUUGAUGAUUCCCAUGGUGAGAGGCACCUCGAGGCCACCUUCCUUCUGUAUCCUCAAGAGCACGUCCACCAGGUCCUCUCCAUCCCCCACGGCCCUCUUUUCCUCGUGUUGUUUGAUGGCAUACUCCAUGAGCUCGAAGCUCUUCCGGUGGACCUCCUCGGCCAUCCGCACUGUGCCGCUUAUGAAGUUGGCAAGCCACGACGAAGGGAACAGGUCGUUGAGGAUGGACCCGGUGACGAGCUUGACCCCCUCCUGGAGGACCUGCAAGAACUCCUCCCUCCUCUGAAACCUGUCCCCGAUCAUGGUGCGCACGGCGGAGUCGGUGAUGAGCACGGCGAUCCGCUCGUUGGUGUUCACGAGCUGGCCGGGCGGCGUGGCCGCGAUGGCGGCCACGAGGCGGCCGACCUCUGAAGGAAAUAUGCCCUAGAGGCAAUAAUAAAGUUAUUAUUUAUUUCCUUAUAUCAUGAUAAAUAUUUAUUAUUCAUGCUAGAAUUUUAUUAACCGGAAACAUAAUACAUGUGUGAAUACAUAGACAAACAUAGUGUCACUAGUAUGCCUCUACUUGACUAGCUCGUUAAUCAAAGAUGGUUAAGUUUCCUAACCAUAGACAUGAGAUGUCAUUUGAUUAACGGGAUCACAUCAUUAGAAGAAUGAUGUGAUUGACUUGACCCAUUCCGUUAGCUUAGCACUUGAUCGUUUAGUAUGUUGCUAUUGCUUUCUUCAUAACUUAUACAUGUUCCUAUGACUAUGAGAUUAUGCAACUCCUGUUUACCGGAGGAACACUUUGUGUGCUACCAAACGUCACAACGUAACUGGGUGAUUAUAAAGGAGCUCUACAGGUGUCUCUGAAGGUACAUGUUGGGUUGGCGUAUUUCGAGAUUAGGAUUUGUCACUGAUUGUCGGAGAGGUAUCUCUGGGCCCUGUCGGUAAUGCACAUCACUAUAAGCCUUGCAAGCAAUGUGGCUAAUGAUUUAGUUACGGAAUGAUGCAUUACGUAACGAGUAAAGAGACUUGCCAGUAACGAGAUUGAACUAGGUAUUGAGAUACCGACGAUUGAAUCUUGGGCAAGUAACAUACCGAUGACAAAGGGAACAACGUAUGUUGUUAUGCGGUUUGACCGAUAAAGAUCUUUGUAGAAUAUGUAGGAGCCAAUAUGAGCAUCCAGGUUCCGCUAUUGGUUAUUGACCGUAAACGUGUCUCGGUCAUGUCUACAUAGUUCUCGAACCCGUAGGGUCCGCACGCUUAAGGUUUCGAUGACAGUUAUAUUAUGAGUUUAUGAGUUUUGAUGUACCGAAGGAGUUCGGAGUCCCGGAUGAGAACGGGCACAUGACGAGGAGUCUCGAAAUAGUCGAGACGUAAAGAUCGAUAUAUUAGACGACUAUAUUCGGACUUCGGAAAGGUUCCAAGUGAUUCGGGUAUUUUCGGGGGUACCAGGGAGUUACGGGAAUAUGAGGAAGAAGCAAUGGGCCUCAUGGGCCAAGUGGUAGAAGAGAGGCGGCAGGGCGCGCGGCCCCCCUAGCCCAAACCGAAUUGGACUAGGGGGCCGGCCCCCCUUUCCUCCUUUUCCUCCCUCUCCUUCCUUCUCCUUCUCUUUCCCUUCCUUCCCCUCUCCUAGUUGGACUAGGAAAGGAGGGAGUCCUACUCCCGGAGUAGGACUCCUCCUUGGCGCGCCCUCCCUUGGUUGGCCGCCCCCUCCCCCUUGCUCCUUUAUAUACGGGGGCAGGGGGCACCCCAUGACACACAAGUUGAUCUUCGUGAUCAUUCCUUAGCCGUGUGCGGUGCCCCCCUCCACCAUAUUCCACCUUGGUCAUAUCGUUGCGGUGCUUAGGCGAAGCCCUGCGUGGGUAGAACAUCAUCAUCGUCACCACGCCGUCGUGCUGACGAAACUCAUUCCCGACACCCUGCUGGAUCGGAGUCCGGGGAUCGUCAUCGAGUUGAACAUGUGCUGAACUCGGAGGUGCCGUACGUUCGGUACUUGGAUCGGUCGGAUCGUGAAGACGUACGACUACAUCAACCGCGUUGUCAUAACGCUUCCGCUUUUGGUCUACGAGGGUACGUGGACAACACUCUCCCCUCUGGUUGCUAUGCAUCACCAUGAUCUUGCGUGUGCGUAGGAAUUUUUUUGAAAUUACUAUGUUCCCCAACAGUGGCAUCCGAGCCUGGUUUUAUGCGUAGAUGUUAUAUGCACGAGUAGAACACAAGUGAGUUGUGGGCGAUACAAGUCAUACUGCUUACCAGCAUGUCAUACUUUGGUUCAGCGGUAUUGUUGGAUGAAGCGGCCCGGACCGACAUUACGCGUACGCUUACGCGAGACUAGUUUUACCGCCGUGCUUUGCACACAGGUGACUAGCGGGUGUCUAUUUCUCCAACUUUAGUUGAACCGAAUGUGGCUACGCUCGGUCCUUGCGAAGGUUAAAACAGCACUAACUUGACGAACUAUCGUUGUGGUUUUGAUGCAUAGGUAAGAACGGUUUUUGCUCAGCCAGUAGCAGCCACGUAAAAUUUGCAACAACAAAGUAGAGGACAUCUAACUUGUUUUUGCAGGGCAUGUUGUGAUGUGAUAUGGUCAAGACGUGAUGCUAUAUUUUAUUGUAUGAGAUGAUCAUGUUUUGUAACUGAAGUUAUCGGCAACUGGCAGGAGCCAUAUGGUUGUCGCUUUAUUGUAUGAAAUGUAAAUGCCCUGUAAUUGCUUUACUUUAUCACUGAGCGGUAGCGAUAGUCGUAGAAGCAAUAGAUGGCGUAACGACAACGAUCAUACGAUGGAGAUCAAAGUGUCGCGCCGGUGACGAUGGUGAUCACGACGGUGCUUCGGAGAUGGAGAUCACAAGCACAAGAUGAUGAUGACCAUAUCAUAUCACUUAUAUUGAUUGCAUGUGAUGUUUAUCCUCUAUGCAUCUUAUCUUGCUUUGAUUGACCAUAGCAUUUUAAGAUGAUCUCUCACUAAUUAUCAAGAAGUGUUCUCCCUGAGUAUGCACCGUUGCGAAAGUUCUUCGUGCUGAGACACCAUGUGAUGAUCGGGUGUGAUAGGCUCUACGUUCAAAUACAACGGGUGCAAAACAGUUGCACACACGGAAUACUCAGGUUAAACUUGACGAGCCUAGUAUAUACAAAUAUGGCCUCGGAACACAGAGACCGAAAGGUCGAGCGUGAAUCAUAUAGUAGAUAUGAUCAACAUAGUGAUGUUCACCAUUUAAAACUACUCCAUCUCACGUGAUGAUCGGACAUGGUUUAGUUGAUUUGGAUCACAUGAUCACUUAGAUGACUAGAGAGAUGUCUGUCUAAGUGGGAGUUCUUAAGUAAUAUGAUUAAUUGAACUUAAAUUUAUCAUGAACUUAGUCCUGAUAGUAUUUUGCAAAUUAUGUUGUAGAUCAAUAGCUUGCGUUGUUGCUUUCAUAUCUUUAUUUUGAUAUGUUCCUAGAGAGAAUUGUGUUGAAAGAUGUUAGUAGCAAUGAUGCGGAUUGGAUCCGUGAUCUGAGGUUUAUCCUCAUUGCGGCACAAAAAAAUUAUGUCCUUAAUGCACCGCUAGGUGACAGACCUACUGCAGGAGCAGAUGCAGAUGUUAUGAACGUUUAGCUAGCUCUAUAUGAUGACUACUUGAUAGUUUUGUGCACCAUGCUUUAUGGCUUAGAACCGGGACUACAAAAAUGUUUUUCAAACGUCACGGAAUAUAUGAGAUGUUCCAUGAGAUGAAAUUGAUAUUUCAGACUCAUGCCCGUGUCAUGAGGUAUGAGACCUCUGACAAAUACUUUGCCUAAAAGAUGGAGGAGAAUUGCUCAACUAGUGAGCAAGUGCUUAGAUUGUCUGAGUACUACAAUCGCUUGAAUCAAGUGGGAGUUAAUCUUCUAGAUAAGAUAGUGAUUGAGAGAGUUCUUUAGUCACCAUCACCAAGUUAGUAGAACUUCAUGAUGAACUAUAUUAUGCGAGGGAUGACGAAAACGAUUCUCGAGCUCUUCGUGAUGCUGAAAUCGACGAUGGUAGAAAUCAAGAAAGAACAUCAAGUGUUGAUGAUUGACAAGAUCACUAGUUUCAAGAAAAGGGCAAAGGGAAAGAAAGGGAAACUUCAAGUAGAAUGGCAAUCAAGUUGUCACUCCCACGAACAAGCCCAAAGCCGAACCAAAGCCUGAAACUGAGUGAUUAUACUGCAAAGGAAAUGAUCACUAGAAGCGGAAAUUCCCUGAAUGUUUGGUGGAUAACAAGGAUGGCAAACUGAACAAGGGUAUAUUUGAUAUACAGGUUAUUGAUGUGUACCUUACUAGUGUUUAUAGUAACCCCUGAGUAUUUGAUACUUGUUCGGUUGCUAAGAUUAGUAACUCGAAACAGGAGUUAUAGAAUAAACAGAGACUAGUUGAAGGUGAAGUGACGAUGUGUAUUGGAAGUGGUUCCAAGAUUGAUAUGAUCAUCAUCGCACACUCCCUAUACCUUCGGGAUUAGUGUUAAACCUAAAUAAAUGUUAUUUGGUGUUUGCGUUGAACAUGAAUCUGAUUUGAUCAUGUUUAUUGCAAUACGGUUAUUCAUUUAAAGUCAAAGAAUAAUUGUUGUUCUGUUUACAUGAAUAAAACCUUCGAUGGUCAUACAUCCAAUGAAAAAAGUUUGUUGGAUCUCGAUCGUAGUGAUACACAUAUUCAUAAUAUUGAUGCCAAAAGAUGCAAAAUUAAUAAUGAUAGUGCAACUUAUUUGUGGCACUGCCGUUCGGGUCAUAUCGGUGUAAAGCGCAUGAAGAAACUCCAUAAAGAUGAAUUUUCAUAAUCACUUGGCUGUGAAUCAUUUGAUGCUUGCGAACCGUGCCUUUUGGGAAAGAUGACUAAAACUCCGUUCUCCGAAACAAUGGAACGAGCUACUGACUUAUUGGAAAUAAUACAUACCGAUGUAUGCGAUCCAAUGAGUGUUAAGGCUCGUGGCAUGUAUCGUUAUUUUCUGAUCUUCACAGAUGAUUUGAGCAGAUAUGGGUAUAUCUACUUGAUGAAACAUAAGUCUGAGACAUUUGAAAAGUUCAAAGAAUUUCAGAGUGAAGUGGAAAAUCAUCGUAACAAGAAAAAUAAAGUUUCUACGAUCUGAUCAUGGAGACGAAUAUUUGAGUUACGAGUUUGGUCUUCAUUUGAAACAAUGUGAAAUAGUUUCGCAACUCACGCCACCUGGAACACCACAAUGUAAUGGUGUGUCCGAACAUCGUAAUCGUACUUUACUAGAUAUGGUGCGAUCUAUGAUGUCUCUUAUCGGUUUACCACUAUCGUUUUGGGGUUAUGCAUUAGAGACAGCUGCAUUCACGUUUAAUAGGGCACCAUCUAAAUCCGUUGAGAUGACACCGUAUGAACUAUGGUUUAGCAGUAAACCUAAGCUGUCAUUUCUUAAAUUUUGGAGUUGUGAUGCUUAUAUGAAAAAGGUUUUCAACCUGAUAAGCUCGAACCCAAAUCGGAGAAAUGCAUCUUCAUAGAAUACCCAAAGGAAAUUUUUGGGUACACCUUCUAUCACAGAUCCGAAGGCAAAACAUUUGUUGCUAAGAAUGGAUCCUUUCUAGAGAAGGAGUUUCUCUCGAAAGAAGUGAGUGGGAGGAAAGUAGAACUUGAUGAGGUAAUUGUACCUUCUCCCAAAUUGGAAAGUAGUUCAUCACAGAAAUCAGUUCCUGUGAUUCCUACACCAAUUAGAGAGGAAGCUAAUGAUGAUGAUCAUGAAACUUCAGAUCAAGUUACUACAAAACCUUGUAGGUCUUCCAAAGUACAGUCUGCACCAGAGUGGUACGAUAAUCUUGUUCUGGAGUCAUGUUACUAGACCAUAAUGAACCUACAAACUAUGAGGAAGCAAUGAUGAGCCCAGAUUCUCCGAAAUGGCUUGAGGCCAUGAAAUCUGAGAUGGGAUCCAUGUAUGAGAACAAAGUGUGGACUUUGGUGGAGUUGCCCGAUGAUCGGCAAGCCAUAUUGUAUAAAUGGAUCUUCAAGAGGAAGACAGAUGCUGAUAGUAGUGUUACUAUCUACAAAGCUCGACUUGUCGCAAAAGGUUUUUGACAAGUUCAAGGUGUUGACUACAAUGAGAUUUUCUCAACUGUAGCGAUGCUUAAGUCUGUCUGAAUCAUGUUAGCAAUUGCCACAUUUUAUGAAAUCUGGCAAAUGAAUGUCAAAACUGCAUUCCUUAAUAGUUUUCUUAAAGAAGAGUUGUAUAUGAUGCAACCAGAAGGUUUUGUCAAUCCUAAAGGUGCUAACAAAAUGUGCAAGCUCCAGCAAUCCAUCUAUGGACUGGUGCAAGCAUCCCGGAGUUGGAAUAUACACUUUGAGAAGUUGAUCAAAGCAUAUAGUUUUAUACAGACUUGCGGCGAAGCAUGUAUUUACAAGAAAGUGAGUGGGAGCACUACAACAUUUCUGAUAAGUAUAUGUGAAUGACAUAUUGUUGAUCGGAAAUAAUGUAGAAUUAUUCUGCAAAGCAUAAAGGAGUGACUAAAAGGAGUUUUUUCAAAGAAAGAGCUCGGUAAACCUACUUACACAUUGAGCAUCAAGAUAGAUCAAGACGCUUGAUAAGAUUUUUCAAUGAGUACAUACCUUGAUAAAUUUUUGAAAUAGUUCAAAAUGGAACAAUCAAAGAAGGAGUUCUUGCCUGUGUUGCAAGGUGUGAAGUUGAGUAAGACUCAAGACCCGACCAUGGCAGAAAAUAGAAAGAGAAUGAAAAGUCAUUCCAUAUGCCUCAGUCAUAGGUUCUAUAAAGUAUGCUAUGCUGUGAACCAGACAUAUUGUAUACCUUGCUCUGAGUUUGGCAAAGGAAUACAAUUUUGAUCUAAUAGUAGAUCACUGGACAGCGGUCAAGAAUAUCCUUAGUGAGGACUAAGGAAAUAUUUCUCGAUUAUGGAGGUGAUAAAAGAGCCCGUCGUAAAGAGUUACAUCGGUGCAAGCUUUCACACCGAUCCAGAUGACUCUAAGUCUCAAUCUGGAUACAUAUUGAAAGUGGGAGCAAUUAGCUAGAGUAGCUCCGUGUAGAGCAUUGUAGAUAUAAAAUAUUUGCAAAAUACAUACGGCUCUGAAUGUGACAGACCCGUUGACUAAAUUUCUCUCACGAACAAAACAUGAUCAUACCUUUGUACUCUUUAGGUAUUAAUCACAUAGCGAUGUGAGCUAGAUUAUUGACUCUAGUAAACCCUUCGAGUGUUGAUCACAUGACGAUGUGAACUAUGGGUAUUUAAUCACAUACAGAUGUGAAUAUUGGUGUUAAAUCACAUGGCGAUGUGAACUAGAUUAUUGACUCUAGUGCAAGUGGGAGACUGAAGGAAAUAUGCCCUAGAGGCAAUAAUAAAGUUAUUAUUUAUUUCCUUAUAUCAUGAUAAAUGUUUAUUAUUCAUGCUAGAAUUGUAUUAACCGGAAACAUAAUACAUGUGUGAAUACAUAGACAAAUAUAGUGUCACUAGUAUGCCUCUACUUAAUUAGCUUGUUAAUCAAAGAUGGUUAAGUUUCCUAACCAUAGACAUGAGUUGUCAUUUGAUUAACGAGAUCACAUCAUUAGAAGAAUGAUGUGAUUGACUUGACCCAUUCCGUUAGCUUAGCACUUGAUCAUUUAAUAUGUUGCUAUUGCUUUCUUCAUAACUUAUACAUGUUCCUUUGACUAUGAGAUUAUGCAACUCCCGUUUACCGGAGGAACACUUUGUGUGCUACCAAACGUCACAACAUAACUGGGUGAUUAUAAAGGAGCUCUACAGGUGUCUCUGAAGGUACAUAUUGGGUUGGCGUAUUUCGAGAUUAGGAUUUGUCACUGAUUGUCGGAGAGGUAUCUCUGGGCCCUCUCGGUAAUGCACAUCACUAUAAGCCUUGCAAGCAAUGUGGCUAAUGAUUUAGUUAUGGAAUGAUGCAUUACGUAACGAGUAAAGAGACUUGCCAGUAACGAGAUUGAACUAGGUAUUGAGAUACCGAUGAUCAAAUCUCGGGCAAGUAACAUACCAAUGACAAAGCGAACAACGUAUGUUGUUAUGCGGUUUGACCGAUAAAGAUCUUCAUAGAAUAUGUAGGAGUCAAUAUGAGCAUCCAGGUUCCGCUAUUGGUUAUUGACCGUAAACGUGUCUCGGUCAUGUCUACAUAGUUCUCGAACCCGUAGGGUCCGCACGCUUAAGGUUUCGAUGACAGUUAUAUUAUGAAUUUAUGAGUUUUGAUGUACCGAAGGAGUUCGGAGUCCCAGAUAAGAUCGGGGACAUGACGAGGAGUCUCGAAAUGGUCGAGACGUAAAGAUCGAUAUAUUGGACGACUAUAUUCGGACUUCGGAAAGGUUUCGAGUGAUUCGGGUAUUUUCGGGGGUACCGGGGAGUUACGGGAAUACGAGGAAGAAGCAAUGGGCCUCAUGGGCCAAGUGGUGGAAGAGAGGAGGCAUGGCGCGCGGCCCCCCUAGCCCAAACCGAAUUGGACUAGGGGGCCGGCCCCCCUUUCCUCCUUUUCCUCCCUCUCCUUCCUUCUCCUUCUCUUUCCGUUCCUUCCCCUUUCCUAGUUGGACUAGGAAAGGAGGGAGUCCUAUUCCCGGUGGGAGUAGGACACCUCCUUGGCGCGCCCUCCCUUGGUCGGCCGCCCCCUCCCCCUUGCUCCUUUAUAUACUGGGCAGGGGGCACCCCGUGACACACAAGUUGAUCUUCAUGAUCGUUUCUUAGCCGUGUGCGGUGCCCCCCUCCACCAUAUUCCACCUCGGUCAUAUCGUUGCGGUGCUUAGGUGAAGCCCUGCGUCGGUAGAACAUCAUCAUCGUCACCACGCCGUCGUGCUGACGGAACUCAUCCCCGACACCCUGCUGGAUCGGAGUCCAGCGAUCGUCAUCGAGCUGAACGUGUGCUGAACUCGGAGGUGCCGUACGUUCGGUACUUGGAUCGGUCGGAUCGUGAAGACGUACGACUACAUCAACCGUGUUGUCAUAGCGCUUCCGCUUUCGGUCUACGAGGGUACAUGGACAACAUUCUCCCUUCUCGUUGCUAUGCAUCACCAUGAUCUUGCGUGUGCGUAGGAAUUUUUUUGAAAUUACUACGUUCCUCAACAACCUCGUCCACCUGGAUCUGGCGGGACGACUGCACGCGGCGCGCGCUGAGCAGCUCCAGGAUGCAUAUCUUUCGGAGCUGCCACCACAGGGCGCCGUAUUGGCCGAAGACGAGCCCUUGCCCGUCCGACAUCAUGAUCUUGAUGGUCGGGUUCAGCCGGCUCGCCAGGGCGACGUCGUGCGUCUUCAUGACCUCACGCGCGGCCUCCGGGGAUGAGGCGACGACGAUGGAGACCUUGCCGAGCUUGAGGUACAUGAGCGGCGCGUCCAGCCGGCGCGUGAGGUCGGCCAUGACGCGGUGCGCGAGCGGGCUGCUCGCGAGGUGGUGCAGGUUGCCGAUGACCGACAGCCGCCAUGGGCCGGGCGGCAGACACACGGCACCGCCACGCUUCCUGCUCAGCUUCAGGAGCAGGAGCGGGAGGAGUGGAGCCAGGAGGAGGCAGAGGUAGUAAGAGCAACUCCAACGGGGCGACCCAUUUCAUCCGCCCGCAUCCGUUUGGGUCGACGCGGACAAAGGUGGCGGCCCAACACGCUGACCCAAACUCAAAUCGUGUCCGCCUGGCGUCCGGGUCGACCCAUUCCGGCCCAAAAUUGCGUCUAGAAUGCGUCGGCGCGGAUGCAAAGCGGACGCGCCGCGCCUCUCCUUGCCGCCCGCCACGUUCCCACCUGGCGGCCACCCAACCACCACUGGUCGUCUUAUUUAUGACAACCACCGACAGUGGAAACGUCCUUUUUAACCACGCGUGCAGCGGGGUCGGCCUCAUCCACUUCUCCCGUCCACAUCUACCCCCCAUCACUCCCUUUGCUUCCUCGCCGGCGACCGCAAACCCUAGCGCGCCCAUGGGCCUCUUCGGCAGCAGCAAUGGCAAGGGCAAGGUCAAGGGCACCCCCGGCGCCUCGUCAUCCUGUGCUCCCCCUCCCCCUCCACCGCCGGCGCGUUUCCACCCUGAACACCGACGCCUGCACAUCCCGGUGCACCAAGCGCGGUGGCACUGGGAGUACAGGCAGCCCCUCCCCUACCCCGACGUGACGCUGCCGCACCAUUGGUAUUUGGAUUCCCAGCGGAUCCCGGUGCCGGCGGUUCCGCGGACCCAGCGGGCGCAUGACGACGAGGUGCGCCGGCGCCGCGCGCAGCUCACGCCGGAGCAGCGUCGGUUGCCCGAGUACGCCACCGACUCUCCCAACUGGGAGGCUUGGUUCGCCCUCGAACACGAGGAGCAACGGCGCUCGGGUGUCGACGUCGGCCCGCCGCCAUUCCCACCGCCACCCCCGCAGGUAGAGCCGGAGGACAUGGAGGCGGAGGCGGAGUACCAAGCCUCCCUCGAGGAGGCCCUGCAGCAUGCGCUGGAGGCUAGCCGCAUCGAGGAGGAUGCGCACUGGGAUGGGCUGGAGCAAGCCCUUGCCCUGUCGGUGGCGGGGGACUCCGUCCACACCCCGCUCUUCGUGCCGCCACCUCCACCGUCGCCGUCCGUCCAGCCCAAGCCGGAGCCGUCGUGUAAGCGCUCCCCGCCUCCACCCACUUGGCCGGAGGAGGCCUACUCGUGGACGGGUCAGUAUCGCGAGUGGGUGAGCGCGCCUCCCGUCCACUUCACCGCGAUGCCGGAGGAGGAGGCGGCCCACCCCGAGCGAUGGAAGGAGCACUGGCUCCGCCAGGAGUAGGCCGACGGCGAGGAGCAGAUGCGCUACGAGGCCAUGCUCCAACGCGACUCGGAGGCGCUCCGGCUCGAGGAGGAGGAGGAGGAGCGCGCGUGGCUUGCCGCAAUGCCGCCGCCCCAGCAGACGUUGGAGGAGGCUGCCCUGGCAGCGUACCAGGCGGCGUUCGGGUGGGCUGGCCCUACUCCGGUCUUCAUCGACCUCACCAACGACGGCGCGGACGCCGGCAAGGGCAAGAGAAAGGCCGACGACGUCUAGGGCAGCAUGUCGGGCGGCAGCAGGCGGGCGCAGACUUUUUUUAACGUUUUAUUUAAUGUUUAUUAGGUUUAGGUGGACUUUGGCCGGCGUUUGACCGGCCACUUUAUGUUUAAUUAUGUUUAUUUAUGUUUAUUUCGUGCAACUUGUUUUUUUUUCACGGCGACACAUUUGGGUCGGCCUCCCCGUUGGGCGGUCAAUCCGACCCAUUUUAAAAUGCGGACGCGCACGUCCGCCUGACCGACCCAAACGGAUAAAAAGCAGACAAAGCGUGCGUCCGUUUGGAUCGCCCCGUUGGAGUUGCUCUAAGUAGCUUGCACCAUGACGGGCAGUGUGAGUGUGUGUGACCACCGCGCACUGUUGUACGUAUAAAUCGCGUUUAACAACAAAAACUGCGGAGAGCUGCGAAAGCAUCUGUUGUUUCGAGUUGAGCCCUCAUGUGUUCCUAAGCAGGCUAUGUAUUUGGGUGGUGUCGCGUUUUGGGUGGAAAGGAAUAAGCUACAGUGUCCUCCAGUCUAAUCCCUGCCCACAGCCUUACAAAACAGUAACGGAGGAACUAAUAAGCACGAGCAACUACGAGGAUGAGAUCGGUUGACUGAUAAUUGACCGAGAAGUAAGCUAAAUCUCAGUGGACCGUGACUGAGAAAGAAGCUACUCGUACUACUGAAAAAUAAUAGGGUUUCUGAUUGUGUAACCUUAGUCAAGUUACAUCAUGAUUCUUGAGCUAAACCUCAGUGGACUGUGACUGAGAAAUAAGCUAAUGAGAUAAUAGGAUUUUCGAUGAAGUGACCGAAGUCAAGUGGCAUCAUGAUCCUUGAGCGCCGGUCAAAUUACAUCAUCCACCUGGUACCGAGCCAGCAUAACUUGGCAUUUGGAAGUUAGACCUUUUUAUAGGACUCUCUUUCAGUUUCAAAAAGAGAACAUUUGAAACUUUUAACAUGCAUAAUCAUGAGUCAACAAGUGAUUCGAACUGUGUGUAAAAAAAGUAUUUUUUUUUUUCAAAAUGGUAGAACUAUAUAAGGAAGUUUUCUAUAACCUUGAGAAAAAGGAUAAAAAGGUAGUUUUGUUUUAGUUUAUGACUCCCAUCAAGAGCGGGAAAUCCUUGAUUUGGGAUUGGACAUAGAACCUAGAUCCAUCCUUAAUGGCAUGUGUUGUACACCCGUAGCUCACGAUGCCGGCGAACAAUCGUCGGUCCACGGUGCCGGCCGCGACAGUGAGCACCCACGAGAUGCCGUUGUGUAGUGUAGCGAACCCGCCGUCGUUCCCGGCUGACGCGGACACAAAGAUGCCGUGCUCCAUGGCAGCAAAGGAGGCAAUGACCAUAGGAUCCGUGUACAGCGGCUCAUUGUCGAAGUCGAGGGAGAUGGUGGGAGAUGGAGACGACGUCGACGCCCAGAGGCGGAGCUAUGUGUAUUGCCGAGGGGGCUAUGGCCCCCCGGCCUAGGAUAAAUUUCUGAAGUCUUCUUUUUCUAGGGACAUAGUUAGAAGAAAAUUUUCUCAUUACCCCCCACAAACAAGCAUACUUUACCUUUUGCCCCCCCCCCUAACAUCAACCAUAUGACCCUGUAUGCGGCGACAUGGGCACGUGGAGCAGUUCCACGUGCCGUCCCGCACUUGUACCCGAAGAAGGACGCGCACGACACAGGGCUUCCCGCGGCGGUGGACGCCGUGUGCGGGCCGUGGCCGUCGUCGUCGCGCAUCGAGUUCAUGGAGAUGGUGUCGUUGGGUUCAUGGCCAUGUAGCUUAGUUGAAGUAGCUAGCUUUGAUGAGCUUCCGGUUGCACGUGGUGGCGGGGAACGCGACGCCGUACACGCACGCCCCGCGCCAUCGUGACGGCACGGAAGGCAUCCCAUCGUCCUGGAAGCUGUUGCUCUUGGGCCAAACGCCGCUGUCGACCACGCCAAUGAUUAGGCUCUCGCCAAGGUUCGCGGCCGGCCACAGCCCAAUGCCAGGGUAGAGGUUGAGGACAGGGCCGGUCCUGACAUUUUGGUGGCCCGAGGCGAAAUUAGAAACCAGGGCCUCUAAAUAUAAACAUGGCGAUGAUACAAUUUCAACUUUGUAGAGCUUUUCUCAACAUAACAUUUGUGCAAGUUUGGAAAUUUUGCUUGAAGAACAUAGUACAGACAAAAUAUAAAUUUACAGUAGGAAUCACUGACAUUUUUCUAUACAAAUCGUUUGGGACUACGCUCCAUUCGUUUGCAACAUUAGAAUUGGCCUCUUUUUUCUUACUUUACCACAGUCCUAAUUAGUCCAACAAAAUUAACAACCAAUUUUUGCCUGAGAGUUAAUUAUAUAGCGUAUUGGGAUGUUCCAUAUUUUGUUAACGACUUCGCAAAAAAUUGAAAGUAAUUUUACAUUGCAAGAACCCAUCAAAAGGUUAGCUAGGCAGAGGGAAAAAGAAAAAUUCUACUAAACUUGCCUUGUAUCAAGAAUUUUACAUGGUAUCUGUAUACCUGUAUCUGUAUGUGGCAGAUCGAUGUAGUAUUCAUUCCCAUACCCAGCUCCGAGGAUCGAAGGCGACACUCAAGGGCGACCAACGAUUUCAUCUAGUGUGUCAGGAACAGGAACAGACCACAAGUUAAAGCUAUCAUCACGGCAGGAUAGAGAUCUUUCUCACCGUGGUUAUCGGUCGGCAGAUCGAAGACGCCGUAGACCUGCAGGAAGCAGCGCGGCGUACUGUUCCGGCUCGCCGGAGGGUGCUUUGGAGUCGGCGUACGCCGGUACCCACAUAUUUCGGGGGCGAUGGUGCGAUACCUAACCCGUGCAGCAACAAUCGAGAAAAAUUCAGGAGACGACGACGCACACAGGAGAUCGUGGAAUCAACCUCGCAGUCACAGGCGGAGAUCGUGGAGACCUCCUCGUCGGCCCGUAAGGAGUUUGGGCGCCCACGUGCUUCCUUCGAGGGCUGCAUUGUACGAAGCCCACUCGUUCUUUCUAGAUUCUUUCGUUGUGUUCGUUGGCUCGUGCGUGUACGCUCGUUGGUUCCAGCUAUUUCGCCGAUUCUAAAAAAAAGCUAUUUUGCUGGCUCGUGCGUGUACUCUCGUUGGUUACCUAGCUAUUUAGCUGGUUCGUGCUUGUUCGCUCGUUCUUUUCGCUGUUUCUUUCCGUUCGCUCGUAGUCAUAGCAGUAAAGUUUGGUUUUGGCUGGUUGAGGAUUUUUUUGGUGUGUAGUUUUUUUUGUUGAUCUUAUUAAUUAUUACUUUUUUGUUUGAAUAAUAAUCAACAAAUAAGCUUAGAAUUAUUAAAAAGAUUAAAGAAAUAAUUUUCAACAUGGAUUGGAUACUAAAAUCUCCACAAAUGUUAAAUUGAGAAUAAGAAGAAGAAAAUUCGAUUUUUUUUGAAAAAAAACAUGAAUUAAAAAAUGUACAUGAAUUUCCAAAAAAGUUCGCAAAUUUUCAAACAAAUCAUAAAAUUUGAAAAAGUUCAUUGAAUUUGAAAAAAAUCAUCCAUUUUUAAAAAAGUUCAUCGGUUUUGAAAAAAUGCUCAUCAGUUUCGAAAAGUUCAUCGGAUUUGACAAAAGUUUUUUGAAUUCGAAAAAAGUUCGUCAGAUUUAAAAAUAGUUCACAAAUUUGAAAAAGUUCAUCAAUUCUAAGAAAAGUUAAUCAAAUUUGAGCACACAAUUGAAAAAAGUUUAUUGGAUUUGAAAAAAAGUUCAUCGGAUUUGAAGAAAGUUCACCGACUUUGAAAAAAAGUUUGCCAAAUUUAAAAAAAGUUCAUCGGAUUGGAAAAAAGUUCAUCGAAAUUGGAAAAAAGUUCACUGAAUUCGAAAAAAGUUCAUUGAAUUUGAAAAAAGUUUGCAGAAUUUGAAGAAAGCUCAUCGAUUAUAGAAAAGUUCAUUGAAUUUGUAAACAAAAAGUUCAUCCAUUUUUCAGUGAAAAAACAUGAAAAAUAAAAUUUCUUGAAUUUGAAAAAAGAAAAUUUGGAAAAAGGAAAAAAGGAAAGAUAAAUGAAGAAAGGAUACAAAUAGAUGUAAAUUACCAUGGCAGGCUAGGUGGCGCAGCGAUUGUUGCAACUUCUCACGAAGCGGGAGGCCGCGGGUUCGAUUCUAUCUCGGGCGCCCUGUUUUGCGUUAUACAAACAUANNNNNNNNNNNNNNNNNNNNNNNNNNNNNNNNNNNNNNNNNNNNNNNNNNNNNNNNNNNNNNNNNNNNNNNNNNNNNNNNNNNNNNNNNNNNNNNNNNNNNNNNNNNNNNNNNNNNNNNNNNNNNNNNNNNNNNNNNNNNNNNNNNNNNNNNNNNNNNNNNNNNNNNNNNNNNNNNNNNNNNNNNNNNNNNNNNNNNNNNNNNNNNNNNNNNNNNAUCGGGCGCAAUAUGCGCCAAAUAGGAUUUGGCGAGAUUCUGUGCUAGGCCUUAAUGCAGAUCGCAGGUAGAUGCAACAUCAUCUUUAUGAUGCCUUUUCUUUUCGUGGUUUUCUAAAUUGUUGUGUAUUAUCCUGCCUCGGAGCUUGUAAAAGUGUAGCUAAUUCAUCACUUUUAUUUGGUCAGUAUAGUUCCUAAAAUAGGCGGCAAGAUUCAUUAUAUUCUCUCUCUCUUUCGACCGUACACACACUGGCAGUGCAAAGAAAUCAGUAGACGUGGCAUUGGAGGAUGCGGGCGCCCCUAUGUCUUGUUUAUAGCGAGACCUAGGGAACCAUUGCAUCAAACAGUGCACGAGAUAGGUCGGCCUAGGCGCAGGAGACCACGGCCUCAUUUUUUUCAUGUUUUUUGUGUUUUUUCUUCUUCUUUAACUCUGGUUUAUAUUUUCAAAUAUUAUAAAUAAAUAUAUUACAAAAAAUUACAUAAAACAACUUCAAAGAAAUAUAUCAACUAAGCAUUUGAAAAUUUUCAAAUUGUGUAUGGAGAAAAUGUUUCUCAUGUAUACAAAAAAUAUACAAUGCGUAUGAAAAUGGUUGAUCAUGUUUCUUAAAAAAUGUUAAUCAGGCAUAUAAUAAAAUGUUAAUCCAAGCAUUUAGAAAAAUGUUAAAUAGCUAUUUGAAAAGUGUUAAUUAAGCAUUUGAAAAUUGUUGACCAUGUAUUUAAAAAUGUUGAAAUAUAUUUUUAACAAUGUUAAUCAAGCAUUUGAAAUAUUUUGUUAAAUAUGUAUAGAAAUAAAGUUGACCAUGUAUUAAAAAAUGUUAAUAUGAUAUUUGAAAAAUCUUAAUCAAGCAUUUGGAAAAUGUUAAAUUUUAUAGAAAAAAUGUUGAUCAUGUAUGAAAAAAUGUUAAACUUCUAUUUGGAAUGAUUUAAUUAAUAUUUUAAAAAUAAAAGUUAAAUGUGUAUAGAAAAAUAGGUUGACUGUGUACUAAAAAUGUUAAUUUUCUAUUGGAAAAAUGUUAAAUAUUUAUAGAAAAUUAUCGGCCGUGUAUUUAAUAAAUAUUGAACUUGUAUUUGAAAAAUGUUAAACAUUUAUUACAAAUUAUAUAAUAUAUUUUAUCAAAGUCUGUUAGAAAAACAUUGAAACCCUAAGCGAAAUAAAAGAAAAUUGAUGAAAAAACAAUGAAAAGAAAAGAAAAAUAAAGAAAAGGAAAAGCCAAUGAAAACCGAGAAACAAACAAAGAAAACCAAAGAAAAAAUGAUUUUUUUUGUAAAAACAGAGAAAGAAACGAAGAAAAUCUAGUGAAAAACAACAAAAAAACAAAAACACAAAAACCCAGAAAACCAAUGAAAAGGGGGAUCUUUCCUUCAAGUUUGUCUCGACCUUUUGUCCUUCGUUUUUGUGUGAGCAAGCCCAAUAGGGUUGGGCUUUGUGUUGUCUGUCUUUUCUCUAUCGUUUAAAUCUUUAGUCGCUCUAGUAUGAUGGGAUGUAUAAAUUGAUUGUGAUAUUUUUAAAAUAAUAUAAUUAAAUACUCCCCCAUUCACAAAUGUAAAAGGUUCUAACAUUUUUGUUAGAUGUAUAUUGGCACGCUUAGAGUGUUAAUUCUUUCAUUUCAAUUUCCUAUGAAGUCUAUAUUAAAAUAUCCAAAAACAUCCUAUAUUUGUGAACGAGGGAGUAUACAACUGCAUCUGUCCAACGUAGACCCUUCAUACGGACACCAUAUCUCUCCGCGGACCGGUCUGGGAAGGUGUCUGGACACCGAUGAUAUGAGAGUCGGUCAUCCAAAGCUAGCCACAAACGCCAGGUCACAUCUCAAAUGGAAUUCAACCAAAACAAAGAAAUUUGAUGCAAGUUUAAACAAAUUGGAUGGCUUCCAUUCAAACUUAAAAUUAUUCAUCUAAACCGAAGCAAAUUCAUUGCAUUUUGACAUAUUUCCAUAAAGAUGGUCUAGGUUAUUCUAACCUAGUAUAAAUGAUCACCGGCCGCGGCGACAACCGUUUCCCACGACAUGGUCAGGAGGAAGCUCACGAGCCCUAGGAUGUGAAACUUUGGGAGGGAGGGAAUAAUAGCCUCCGCUUCGGCGAAGCGGGCAAGCUCACCAGCUAUGAGGCCUGGUAAGACCCAAGCGGCGGCGGCCUCCCAUGUUCUACUCUUCCUCGCUAUCGGCGGCGGCCUCCCAUGUUCUACUAUUCAUCGCUAUCGACGGCGGCCGUGGACAUGUCGGCUUGGUCAUUUGUGUCACAUUUAAUAUGGAUUAGCGGUUGCAUAAUUUAUAACCAUGCGUGUGCGUGCGUGACAUUUAUGCCAAUUGAAAUACAAUGGAUCAAAUGAAGGCUUUCAAGGUGGCUGCAAUAUAGAUAAAAGUUUCUUUGCAAAUAAAGAGUGAUUCGACAAAAUUAACACUUUGUUUGGCGUCAUGGUGUUGGGAUUUAUGUAUAUAUUGAUAGUAAACUUGCAAUGGUAUUUCUGAUGAUGCAAUUAACAUUACACCAUAAGUCUCGACAUUUGACAGCGUCAGAGACAAAGGACUGGUAUAUGAGAAUUUGUGACCUACUAUUGAAGUAUAAAUCAAACUGGCGAUACAUGGACGACGGAGUGUAGGUACAAGUCAUUCUUCCUCCGGACGGUGAUGCCCAUGUCCUCCACCAUGUCGACCUCACUUGACUUCAGCCCCGCCGGGAGCUCCCAGUCAAAGUGGUAGAGAAGUGCAGCGAGAACAAUCUCCAUGCUGGCCUGUGCAAAUGUCAUACCAGGACACAUCCUUCUCCCUGCCCCAAACGGUAUGUACUCGAAGUCCGUGCCUUUGAAGUCGACGAUGCCAGACUCGAACCUCUCUGGCUUAAAUUCCUCGGGGUUGUCCCAGUGCUUAGGGUCCCUACCAAUCGCCCACGCAUUCACAAGCACGGUUGUGCCCUUUUGCACGUCAUACCCAAGGAUUUUGCAGGACUCCAUGGCCUCCCGUGGAAUAAGCAACGGGGCCGGUGGAUGCAGCCUCAAGGUCUCCUUGAUAACGAGUCUGAGGUAUUUUAGGUCGGCCAAGUCAUCCUCGGUCACCGUGGGCUUUUCUCCAAGGUAACCACGUACUUCGGCUUGCGCUUUCUGCAUCACGUUUGGGUACC
RNAcentral lists this long non-coding RNA (21252 nucleotides) under Triticum aestivum (bread wheat). RNAcentral describes it as "long non-coding RNA (TAES_LNC011607)". Lineage: Eukaryota; Viridiplantae; Streptophyta; Magnoliopsida; Poales; Poaceae. The record is from RNAcentral.